GAUGAACGCUGGCGGCGUGCCUAAUACAUGCAAGUCGAGCGAACUUUUGGGAGCUUGCUCCCAAAAGUUAGCGGCGGACGGGUGAGUAACACGUGGGUAACCUUCCUGUAAGACUGUGAUAACUUCGGGAAACCGGAGCUAAUACCGGAUAACAUUGAAGGCCACAUGGCCUUCAAUUAAAAUGUGGCUUUUAGCUACCACUUACAGAUGGACCCGCGGCGCAUUAGCUAGUUGGUGAGGUAACGGCUCACCAAGGCUACGAUGCGUAGCCGACCUGGGAGGGUGGACGGCCAACCUGGGAAUGAGAAACCGCUCAGACUUCUAAGGGAGGCAGCAGUAGGGGAUCAUCCGCAAUGGACGAAAGGCUGACGGCACCAAGCCGCGUGAGCGAAGAAAGCCUUCGGGAUGUAAAGCUCUGUUGUUAGGGAAGAAAAAGUAUCGUGCGAAUAGCGCGCUAUCUUGACGGUACCUAAACAGAAAGCAACGGCUAACUACGUG
This 498-nucleotide ribosomal RNA is filed under the name uncultured bacterium. RNAcentral describes it as "partial 16S ribosomal RNA". It matches the Rfam family "Bacterial small subunit ribosomal RNA", at positions 28 to 507 of the family's 1533-position model. The record is from RNAcentral.